Molecule: transfer RNA, 73 nt
Filed under: Canis lupus familiaris (dog)
Lineage: Eukaryota; Metazoa; Chordata; Mammalia; Carnivora; Canidae
Also listed under: 1 other name
Rfam family: tRNA
About the family: Transfer RNA (tRNA) molecules are approximately 80 nucleotides in length.
Source: Rfam by way of RNAcentral
ACCUGGCUGGCUCAGUUGGUGGAGCAUGAAACUCUUGAUCUUGAGGUCAUGAGUUCAAGCCUCACACUGGGUG